RNAcentral lists this ribosomal RNA (460 nucleotides) under uncultured bacterium. RNAcentral's name for it is "partial 16S ribosomal RNA". It matches the Rfam family "Bacterial small subunit ribosomal RNA", at positions 338 to 795 of the family's 1533-position model. The record is from RNAcentral.
CCUACGGGGUGCAGCAGUGAGGAAUAUUGGUCAAUGGCCGGAAGGCUGAACCAGCCAUGCCUCGUGAAGGUCAGUGCCCUAUGGGCGUUAAACUUCUUUUGUGCGGGAGCAAUAAUGGUCACGUGUGGCCAGACGAGAGUACCGUACGAAUAAGCAUCGGCUAACUCCGUGCCAGCAGCCGCGGUAAUACGGGGGAUGCAAGCGUUAUCCGGAUUUAUUGGGUUUAAAGGGUGCGUAGGCUGUGAGGUAAGUCAGCGGUGAAAUGCCCCCGCUCAACGGGGUGAAGUGCCAUUGAUACUGCCUGGCUGGAAUGCGGAUGCCGUGGGAGGAAUGUGUGGUGUAGCGGUGAAAUGCAUAGAUAUCACACAGAACACCGAUUGCGAAGGCAUCUCACGAAUCCGCGAUUGACGCUGAUGCACGAAAGCGUGGGUAUCAAACAGGAUUAGAUACCCCUGUAGUC